Molecule: ribosomal RNA, 629 nt
Filed under: uncultured Porphyromonadaceae bacterium
Lineage: Bacteria; Pseudomonadati; Bacteroidota; Bacteroidia; Bacteroidales; Porphyromonadaceae
Description: bacterial SSU rRNA
Rfam family: Bacterial small subunit ribosomal RNA
Source: RNAcentral
GUGGCGACCGGCGCACGGGUGAGUAACGCGUAUGCAACCUACCUAUCAGAGGGGAAUAACCCGGCGAAAGUCGGACUAAUACCGCAUAAAACAGGGACACCGCAUGGUGAUAUUUGUUAAAGAAAUUCGCUGAUAGAUGGGCAUGCGUUCCAUUAGGUGGUUGGUGAGGUAACGGCUCACCAAGCCGACGAUGGAUAGGGGAACUGAGAGGUUGGUCCCCCACACUGGUACUGAGACACGGACCAGACUCCUACGGGAGGCAGCAGUGAGGAAUAUUGGUCAAUGGGCGAGAGCCUGAACCAGCCAAGUCGCGUGAAGGAAGAAGGAUCUAUGGUUCGUAAACUUCUUUUGCAGGGGAAUAAAGUGCAGGACGUGUCCUGUUUUGUAUGUACCCUGAGAAUAAGGAUCGGCUAACUCCGUGCCAGCAGCCGCGGUAAUACGGAGGAUCCGAGCGUUAUCCGGAUUUAUUGGGUUUAAAGGGUGCGUAGGUGGUUUGAUAAGUCAGCGGUGAAAGUUUGCAGCUUAACUGUAAAAAUGCCGUUGAAACUGUCGGACUUGAGUGUAAAUGAGGUAGGCGGAAUGCGUGGUGUAGCGGUGAAAUGCUUAGAUAUCACGAAGAACUCCGAUUG